GACCUGCUGGCCCAAUGGUUAAGGCGCUUGACUACGAAUCAAGAGAUUCCAGGUUCGAGUCCUGGGUGGGUCG
This is a transfer RNA of Saitoella complicata NRRL Y-17804, 73 nucleotides long. It matches the Rfam family "tRNA". Rfam says of the family: Transfer RNA (tRNA) molecules are approximately 80 nucleotides in length. Their secondary structure includes four short double-helical elements and three loops (D, anti-codon, and T loops). Lineage: Eukaryota; Fungi; Ascomycota; Saitoellomycetes; Saitoellales; Saitoellaceae. The record is from Rfam.